This is a non-coding RNA of Paramuricea clavata, 720 nucleotides long. Lineage: Eukaryota; Metazoa; Cnidaria; Anthozoa; Malacalcyonacea; Plexauridae. The record is from the annotation of a GenBank genome assembly.
CUCUAGUCUGUAUUCAUUUACAAACAUAGCAAACCAGAAGAGUUAAAAAUUCAGUAUAAUGCAUAUCUAAUAUUUUACAACUAUAGCACUGGGUUCAGACUUCAGAAUGUAAACAAAGGGUUUGUUUACUUUACAUACUUUACAUGGCCUUUAAAUUAAUGAAACCUUUUUGGGCUGCUAUAAACACCAAUGUUUCUGACAGAGUUGUACAGGCAAUACUGUAAACAGAAACAAUAUAUUGUAUCAUCAAACAAUUCUAUCAAACGAAUUGACAAGUUGCAAAAGAAUCCAAAUGCUGUUUAAUUGUUACAUUCACACCAUGAUGAUUCAUACAUUUACAGUUCAAUUAAAAAUCCCAAAUCUUGUAUAAAUACAGUCCUAGCAUACGUGUAUGCUUGUAAGUCUUGUACGCUUGAAUUUCUUUUCAAUAAUAACACUCCAAUAUAGUAGUCAAGGACAUAUGCCAUCAUUCCCAUCAAUACUCACUCAGGGUGAACCAAGAGUAUGAAUUAUUACCAUAACGAAGGCUGUUAUUUUGCCCAAAUAAAUUCAAGUAUGGAUAAAUCAACUCCUUAAUCCCUUCACCACUUUUUCGGACGAAAAGCAACAAAAAAUUCGUCAAAAUAAGCAACUUUUCAGGCCAAAUAAAGCAAAAUAUAUCGUAUUCACUCAUACUGGCCGCGCUCGUGAACGCCACAGGGGGUAUGGGUUCAAUAACUU